AAUCUGGAGCAGCGCACGGGCGUAGAAUGCAGGCAGCCCCGGCCAACAGCGCGCGGGCGUGGAAAGCGGGUGUCCCGCGGCCCGGUCAACCCUCGCCGGAGCAGCACGCACACUUGGAAGGCCCCCGGAUUUUAGUCGUGCAGGCACGGAGCUCUACAUGACGACAAACACAAAAGUUACUCAAGAAUACAAGACAGAAGAAGUGGAACAAAAUACCAGGUAAAUUUCGCCAUGUCUCACCCUGAGAUGCAGACUACAGCAGGGAUUCACUGGCAAGCACGAAGCCCAGUCAAGGAAGGAUCGGGGAGUGCAUUCAUGUUUUGCACGCAAGAAGAUUGAAAAAACAAGCAUUGAAUGCAGCAGCAUCGUGAAAGCAAAGAAAAAAUAUGAAUAAAAAAAGCAAGACUGACACAAACACGCAUGGUGGAAAACACACAAAACAUCAUCAUUAGCACACAGUUAAGUUAUAAAUAAAAGCCCAGCAUCAUAUGGUUGAAGCUAAAAACUUACUUAAAACAUUAUUCUUUUAAGCUUGAAUAUGCUGCUCCUUGUUCUUUCUUAUGAGCAACAAAAUUAUUCUGUUUUAUUUUAUUCUAUUUUUUCUCUCUUGAUAGAAGAGAACAUAUUUGAAAUAUCAAUAAAAACAAUCAUUAAUAUUCUGUGUGUACAAAGCCACAGUUGGCCGGAAAAGGUGCCUUUUGCAUGCAUGGUAACAUAGGCCUUUCCUACUUAUAAAGUAUCCAGUUAUCGACUGACAACUAAGCCAUUAAACUUUACACAAAAGACUUCUGCAAAAGAUCAACCAUCACUUUAGAUAUCCCUACUUGCUGUGUACAAACACAGAGUCAUUCAAACAAGUAAUUCCCUAGGGAAUGCAUUGACGGAAUUUUUAGAAUAUUUUCAACUCGAUC
This is a long non-coding RNA of Branchiostoma belcheri (Belcher's lancelet), 911 nucleotides long. RefSeq lists it as uncharacterized. The transcript has 3 exons. NCBI's taxonomy places the organism in Eukaryota, Metazoa, Chordata, Leptocardii, Amphioxiformes, Branchiostomatidae. The record is from RefSeq and is a predicted model, not a curated record.